GUGUCAGCAGCCGCGGUAAUACGGAGGAUCCAAGCGUUAUCCGGAAUCAUUGGGUUUAAAGGGUCCGUAGGCGGCCCCGUAAGUCAGUGGUGAAAUCUCCCGGCUCAACCGGGAAAUUGCCAUUGAUACUGCAGGGCUUGAAUUAUUGGGAAGUAACUAGAAUAUGUAGUGUAGCGGUGAAAUGCUUAGAUAUUACAUGGAAUACCGAUUGCGAAGGCAGGUUACUAUCAAUACAUUGACGCUGAUGGACGAAAGCGUGGGUAGCGAACAGGAUUAGAAACCCGCGUAGUCC
Molecule: ribosomal RNA, 292 nt
Filed under: uncultured bacterium
Lineage: Bacteria
Description: partial 16S ribosomal RNA
Rfam family: Bacterial small subunit ribosomal RNA
Source: RNAcentral